Molecule: ribosomal RNA, 295 nt
Filed under: Escherichia coli
Lineage: Bacteria; Pseudomonadati; Pseudomonadota; Gammaproteobacteria; Enterobacterales; Enterobacteriaceae
Description: partial 23S ribosomal RNA
Rfam family: Bacterial large subunit ribosomal RNA
Source: RNAcentral
CCAGACAGCCAGGAUGUUGGCUUAGAAGCAGCCAUCAUUUAAAGAAAGCGUAAUAGCUCACUGGUCGAGUCGGCCUGCGCGGAAGAUGUAACGGGGCUAAACCAUGCACCGAAGCUGCGGCAGCGACGCUGAUGCGUUGUUGGGUAGGGGAGCGUUCUGUAAGCCUGUGAAGGUGUGCUGUGAGGCAUGCUGGAGGUAUCAGAAGUGCGAAUGCUGACAUAAGUAACGAUAAAGCGGGUGAAAAGCCCGCUCGCCGGAAGACCAAGGGUUCCUGUCCAACGUUAAUCGGGGCAGG